This 119-nucleotide ribosomal RNA is filed under the name Arabidopsis suecica. Lineage: Eukaryota; Viridiplantae; Streptophyta; Magnoliopsida; Brassicales; Brassicaceae. The record is from RNAcentral.
AAAUGUGAUCAUACCAGCACUAAUGUACCGGAUCCCAUCAUAAUUCCGCAUUCAAGCGUGCUUGGGCAAGAGUAGUACUAGGAUGGGUGACCUCUCGGAAAGUCCUCGUGUUGCAUCCC